Molecule: ribosomal RNA, 256 nt
Filed under: uncultured bacterium
Lineage: Bacteria
Description: partial 16S ribosomal RNA
Rfam family: Bacterial small subunit ribosomal RNA
Source: RNAcentral
UACGUAGGGGGCAAGCGUUGUCCGGAUUUAUUGGGCGUAAAGAGCGUGUAGGCGGCCAGAUAGGUCAGCUGUGAAAACUCGAGGCUCAACCUCGAGACGUCGGUUGAAACCAUCUGGCUAGAGUCCGGAAGAGGAGAGUGGAAUUCCCGGUGAUAGCGGUGAAAUGCGCAGAUAUCGGGAAGAACACCCGUGGCGAAGGCGGCUCUCUGGGACGGUACUGACGCUGAGACGGCGAAAAGCGUGGGGAGCGAACAGG